GCCACAUGAUGUUAUCUAGACGGCAUUAGCGCUCUGUGCGAUGGUGACCUCCGAUCUAUCACCCGAGACUGAUGGUU
Silurus meridionalis is the source of this 77-nucleotide small nucleolar RNA. RefSeq annotates it as small nucleolar RNA SNORD83. Lineage: Eukaryota; Metazoa; Chordata; Actinopteri; Siluriformes; Siluridae. The record is from RefSeq and is a predicted model, not a curated record. The transcript has a single exon.